Molecule: ribosomal RNA, 510 nt
Filed under: uncultured bacterium
Lineage: Bacteria
Description: partial 16S ribosomal RNA
Rfam family: Bacterial small subunit ribosomal RNA
Source: RNAcentral
GACGAACGCUGGCGGCGUGCUUAACACAUGCAAGUCGAACGAAGAGCGCUGGACGCUUGCUUCUUUCAAUCUUAGUGGCGAACGGGUGAGUCACGAGUAAUCAACCUGCCCUUCUGAGGGGGACAACAGUUGGAAACGACUGCUAAUACCGCAUACGAUCUACUCUCGGCAUCGAGGAUAGAUGAAAGGUGGCCUGUACAUGUAAGCUAUCACUGAAGGAGGGGAUUGCGUCUGAUUAGCUCGUUGGAGGGGUAACGGCCCACCAAGGCGAUGAUCAGUAGCCGGACUGAGAGGAUGGGCAGCCACAUUGAGACGGAGACACGGCCCAGACUCCUACGGGAGGCAGCAGUGGGGAAUCUUGCGCAAUGGACGAAAGACUGACGAAGCAACGCCGCGUGAGUGAGGACGGCCUUCGGGUUGGAAAGCUCGGUUAAUCGGGACGAAAGGCCUUCUUGCGAAGAGUGAGAAGGAUUGACGGUACCGGAAGAGAAAGCCACGGCUAACUACGUG